GAGUUUGAUCUUGGCUCAGAUUGAACGCUGGCGGCAUGCCUUACACAUGCAAGUCGAACGGCAGCAUGAUCUAGCUUGCUAGAUUGAUGGCGAGUGGCGAACGGGUGAGUAAUACAUCGGAACGUGCCCUGUAGUGGGGGAUAACUAGUCGAAAGAUUAGCUAAUACCGCAUACGACCUGGGGGUGAAAGUGGGGGACCGCAAGGCCUCAUGCUAUAGGAGCGGCCGAUGUCUGAUUAGCUAGUUGGUGGGUAAAGGCCCACCAAGGCGACGAUCAGUAGCUGGUCUGAGAGGACGAUCAGCCACACUGGGACUGAGACACGGCCCAGACUCCUACGGGAGGCAGCAGUGGGGAAUUUUGGACAAUGGGCGAAAGCCUGAUCCAGCAAUGCCGCGUGUGUGAAGAAGGCCU
RNAcentral lists this ribosomal RNA (411 nucleotides) under uncultured microorganism. RNAcentral's name for it is "bacterial SSU rRNA". It matches the Rfam family "Bacterial small subunit ribosomal RNA", at positions 9 to 417 of the family's 1533-position model. The record is from RNAcentral.